AAAAACUUCAAAAUUUUGAAAUUAAAUACAGAAUGAAACUAUUAAGUAUGUGUGCAAUGGUGGUAGUACUAUAUAUACAGUACUAGCAUCUUUCUUGAUGAUGAAUUUGAAAAAUCGACACGUCUGUAUAUGAUCUAGGUGUGUGUGUGUGUGUGUAUAUAUAUAUAUAGGGGAAAAUGGAUAUGCACAGUUGUGCAAUUUUUUUUUACACAGUCAGCCAAAACGACGUCGUUUUGGUCGACUUGUUUUAAAAAAAAAAUUGCACGGCUUCUCUCCCAAAUCGCUCUUUCAUCCUCCCAAAUCAAAAAUCGCACGAGGGCUUCUUUUCUCCCAAAUUCUCUUCUGUCACUUCUACUCCUUCAGCUUCAUGGUGAGAGUAUCAUCGGAUUACUGGACUUCAACCAGGUGUCGUUGCUGCCAUCCCUACUAUGAAGUUCACCCGCGAGGCUUUCAGCUCUCUGAUUUGAUAGAUUUUUGUUUCAGGUAUGAUUUUUGCUAGCUUAUAAUCUCAAACUAGCGUUUAGAUUUUUGUUUUUCGUAUGAAUCUAAUGUUUAUAGCAUGUUUACAGUUUUUAUUUCGCUUGAAGGGUUUUACAUUUUCUGUUAUUGAAAUUUAGGCGAUUAGGGCUCAGUGUAUAACUUGUCAUUUAUACUUGAAUCUAAGAAUUUGGUAGCUUUUUGCUUUUUCUGAUAAAUUUUUUUUUUUAUAACAUUUGGGAUUGUUUCAUUUUAGCUAUAUUAUUCAUGGGUUUAAAAUUUAAGGCUGUAUUUUCUGGAUUUAUAACAGACCAUGUAAUUUAAUUUACUUGUUCUGUCUCAAAAAUCAUAUCCCACGAGCUUUUCAAGGCUAUAUUUUUAUCGAAUGAUGUUUCAAUUAGUUUUAGAGUUUGGGAUUUUAUAUACAAAUUUGGAAUGUAGAGUAAGUUUUGUGUUGAAAAAGAUUUAUUUGGAACUGAAUCAUUGAGGCUAUGAUGUAAUUUACUAUUGAUUGAAACAGAUUGAUUAUUGAUCGGUACAAUUUUUGAUUUUUCUAUGAACAAUUUGGAAUCCAGGAUUGAAGCCAUUCGUGUUAUCAGAGAUACUGGUACAAGUAUGAGCAUGGGUAUUGCCUAUGUUUUAUUUAAAACAAAGGUUACUUCAUAGGUUUUCCUUAUGGUAUUGGAUUUCAAUAUAAUACUUAAGCCCCUGG
This 1189-nucleotide long non-coding RNA is filed under the name Panax ginseng (ginseng). RNAcentral's name for it is "long non-coding RNA (PGIN_LNC008919)". Lineage: Eukaryota; Viridiplantae; Streptophyta; Magnoliopsida; Apiales; Araliaceae. The record is from RNAcentral.